This 2135-nucleotide ribosomal RNA is filed under the name soil metagenome. RNAcentral describes it as "bacterial LSU rRNA". It matches the Rfam family "Bacterial large subunit ribosomal RNA", at positions 3 to 2107 of the family's 2925-position model. The record is from RNAcentral.
UCAAGCUACUAAGGGCGCACGGUGGAUGCCUUGGUACCAAGAGCCGAAGAAGGACGUGGCAAGACUGCGAUAUGCCCGGGCUAGCUGUCUAGCGAGCUCAACCCGGGAUCUCCGAAUGGGGCAACCCGGCCCGCUUCAUCGCGGGUCACCGCCGGCUGAACACAUAGGCCGGAUGGAGGGAACCGGGGGAACUGAAACAUCUCAGUACCCCGAGGAACAGAGAUCAUUCUCCUAGUAGUGGCGAGCGAACGGGGAAGAGCCCAAACCGUCCCCCUCGGGGGGCGGGGUUGUAGGACCGGCGCAUAGGAGUGAGCAAUCGAUCGGGUAGCCGAAGGUGCCUGGAACGGCCCGCCACAGGGGGUGAGAGCCCCGUAGGCGAAACUCGAUCGACUCCUGCCGGGAUCCUGAGUACCACCGGACACGAGAAAUCCGUUGGGAAUCUGGGGAGACCACUCUCCAAGGCUAAAUACUCUUGGUGACCGAUAGUGGACCAGUACCGUGAGGGAAAGGUGAAAAGCACCCCGAAAGGGGAGUGAAAAAGUUCCUGAAACCGUGCGCUUACAAGCAGUCGGAGUCCUUCCUUCGGGGAGGAUGACGGCGUGCCUAUUGAAGAAUGAGCCGACGAGUUACGUUCAGUGGCGAGGUUAAGCGACGGGAGUCGCGGAGCCGGAGCGAAAGCGAGUCUGAACAGGGCGACACAGUCGCUGGACGUAGACCCGAAACCUGGUGAGCUACCCAUGGGCAGGGUGAAGCGGGGGUAAUGCCCCGUGGAGGCCCGAACCUUCGUACGUUGCAAAGUGCUUGGAUGACCUGUGGGUAGGGGUGAAAUGCCAAUCGAACCAGGAGAUAGCUGGUUCUCCCCGAAAUGCAUCUAGGUGCAGCCUCGGGUGUUUUCUCUUGGAGGUAGGGCUCUGAUUGGGCUAGGGGGCAUAGCGCUUACCAAACCCACUCAAACCGCGAAUGCCAGGAGACUAGAACCCGGGAGUGAGACGGCGGGGGCUAAGCUUCGUCGUCAAAAGGGAAACAGCCCAGAUCCGCAGCUAAGGUCCCAAAAUUCACGCUCAGUGUUAAAGGAUGUCCGGCCGCACAGACAGCCAGGAUGUUGGCUUAGAAGCAGCCACCAUUGAAAGAGUGCGUAAUAGCUCACUGGUCAAGUAGCCGGGCGCCGACAAUGUUCCGGGGCUCAAGCGUGAUACCGAAGCUCGGGGAUCGUCCCUUCGGGGGCGAUCGGUAGGGGAGCGUUCCGCGGGCCGUGAAGCCGGAGGGGUGACCCCUGGUGGAGCGCGCGGAAGUGAGAAUGUCGGCAUGAGUAGCGCAAUUUGGGUGAGAAACCCAAACGCCGUAUGCCUGAGGUUUCCUACGCAAGGUUAUUCCACGUAGGGUUAGGCGGCCCUAAGCCGAGGGCGAGAGCCGUAGGCGAUGGACAGCAGGUUAGUAUUCCUGCCCCGCCAGCGUAGCGUUUGAGAUGAGAGGCGUGACCCGGGAGGAUAGGCAGAGCGGGCCCAUUGGACAUGGCCCGUUCUUGCACCGUAGGCGUCUGGCAGCAGGCAAAUCCACUGCCAGGUUAAGCGGAGGGUGUGAGAGAAGCGGAGACGACAGUCAAAGCGACUCUGCUGAGUCCAUGCCGGCUAGAAAAGCGUCGUCAUCGAGUUGCGUUGGCGUCCGUACCGAUAACCGACACUGGUGGGCGACGGUAAGUACCGUAAGGCGUUCGAGAGAACCUUCGUUAAGGAACUAUGCAAGUUAGCUCCGUAACUUCGGGAGAAGGAGCGCCCUUGGGUGUUAAUGACUUCGCGUCAGAAGCAUCCGGGGGCCGCAGUGAGCAGGCCCAGGCGACUGUUUAACAAAAACACAGGUCUCUGCUAACCCGUAAGGGGAUGUAUAGGGGCUGACGCCUGCCCAGUGCUGGAAGGUUAAGGGGAGGGCUUCACGGCCCGAACCGAAGCCCCAGUGAACGGCGGCCGUAACUAUAACGGUCCUAAGGUAGCGAAAUUCCUUGUCGGGUAAGUUCCGACCCGCACGAAUGGCGUAACGAUCUGGGCGCUGUCUCGACGAAGGACUCGGCGAAAUUGAACUGGCCGUGAAGAUGCGGCCUACCCGCAGCAGGACAAAAAGACCCCGUGGAGCUUUACUGU